Mustela lutreola (European mink) is the source of this 7292-nucleotide long non-coding RNA. RefSeq lists it as uncharacterized. The transcript is spliced from 3 exons. Lineage: Eukaryota; Metazoa; Chordata; Mammalia; Carnivora; Mustelidae. The record is from RefSeq and is a predicted model, not a curated record.
ACUGGCAGUAGAGAGACGUCCCUAUCCUUAGAAGAGUGCCUCUUUCCUCACAAGUGCACUUUCUGCGUUUGGGAAUUUCCCACGUCAUCAGCAUUCUCUCUCUGUGCCAAGAGGCUGUGUGUCACCUCACUGCACCCUUGAACGCCAUGUGGUUAGUCCUUGGUGUACUCGACCAAGGCUCUUGACUUGCUUUCAUGGGACGGUUUGUCUUUGUACUUAGAGCAUUUAGGAGAGCUUAGAAAGUCCCUGUAAAGGAUGUCGGUACAAAUCCUUCAUGUUCCAGUCAACCGCUGCUGCACAACAAACCAGCACAGAACUUGACUUGAGACAACAACAUUAUCUCCCAUAGUCCCGUGUGUUUAUGGACCUCAGCUACAGGUUCUUACGGGGACUCUCAUGCCAUUGCAUUCAGAUGUCGGCUGGGGCUGCGUCACAUGAAGGCCUUUCCAUGGACAUAGCAACCUCCUGGGCAUAACCUCGCCUCUCCUGACUAAUCUACCAGCCAACGAGAGAAAAGAGGGAUCUUGGGUCCUUGAACUCCCAGCACCACCAUCUCUCCUGUACUGCUCACACCGAACUUAUAGCCCGACAUAUUGGCGGCAAAGUCAAGGCAGAAGAAAGAGAAGGCCAUCUGGUGAAGCAGGGAAGGUGCUGGUAUUGUUACAGGUGGGACUGUGGGCGCUAAGGUGGGAAGAAGGUCCAGAGGAGGUGGCCAGCCCAUAUGCCACGUGCCUCUAGGCCCCCAUCUCUAUCCCAAGCCUCAGCAAGAGCUUCUAUGGGCAGGUGCUGACAAGGAGGCCAUCUUCAGCCCAGCAAGCAGAGUCGUCUGAGUGAAGGCCCCGCACAGCCUAACCCCUACUGCCCUCUCCAGCUUUCUCAUUCCCUCCUUCCACACGGUGCGCUGAAACCCACAGUUUCUCCCAACCUCUGUGCCUGUCUCUGGCCUUCUGCAUAUCCUGUUCCUGCCACUCAGAAUGUUCUGUUCUGGCUGCAGAGGCUGAAGUUCAUUCUGUAGGUCUGGACUUAAAAACAUCAUUUGCUCUAGAAAGACAGCUGCCCACCUGCGGAGCGCCCUCUGCCCCAUCUCACCAGGUCUCCCCAGCCUGCUGGGCCGUCAUUCUGUGGGGCUCGUCCUCUCAUCCUUUAGGUCACUGACCCAACACUAGAGCCUGGUCAGCAGAUGAAGCAGGCAGGUCAGCCAACAGCAACAGUAGGCAAGAGCCUCAUCCUUCCAGGAGGGGACCUUUCCCGUCAGGAUAACUGACCAACUGACCCCUGUACCAUGACCACCAGAUGGGUCAUUUGUGAGGCUCUUUCUUCCAUAAAAAAGAAGUCAGUGAGAUAAAAGGACUAUAUGAGCACUAAGUAGGAAGCUGGGUCAGUUUCCAGGUUUUGCACAAUAGUCAAGAUAUUCCUACAUACCCCACCCAAAGCUGACCAACGUUCUCUCCCAGAGAGGAAUGAGCAGGCAUGACCUUCCAUGCCAGGUUCUGAAAGCAAGGUCUCGACUCUUCCUCUUAGGACCUGCUUUGCUCCGUUCUGCCUGGGAGCUGGCUGUGUGUCCCCCAGAGCAAUAAUCAACUAUCUCUAGUUCCCUCCGCCCCAUACAGACAAAGAAGAAACCCAGGCAAUAGGGCAAAAGCGAAAUAAAUGAUAAAGAAUACAGUUCUCACUGAGAAGCCCACCAACAGUCUGAGCCUCCCUGAAAGCCUAUUGUCUCACACUGAAAUACCAAAGCAGCCCCAGGUGGCUCUGGGAGUGCUGGCCAAGAGAGGCAACCUUCCUCUAUCAGACAAUUUCCAUCCCCAUGGGAGAAACGCAUCCCCUGAAGUCCCCGGCCAUUGCAUGGACAAUGUCAGGACCGCACUCAUCUGCAAAUAAAACCCCUAUUUCCCGAAGACAGGUGAACCCCCACUCCCAAAGGGAACAGGACACAUAGACAUACUCUUUCUCCUUCUUCCCCCAUCCCAUGACUUUAUUUCUCCUACCUUAAAGAUGGUAGGCCAGAGUAAUUUGGAGAGAUCUUUGUAACACGUAUUCCCUCGUAAACAGUGGGGGGCCCAAAAACAUGCUGAUGGAACAAAGUCAAAGGAGAGCAGAGACAAGAGUUAAUGCUUGUUUAACCUAGGAUGUACCAUGUGCUAAAACAGCUGCUCUCAUUCAUUAACUUAUCAAUACCCACAAAAAUCUUCUGAGGUCCGAAUUGCCAUACGUUACAAGAGAUAACUGAGAAUCAGAGAGGUUCAGCAACUUGUCCAAGAUCACACAGCAGAGGUAGGAAAACCUAAUAGGAUCAUCUUUUUGUUGUUAUUAUGGUUUUCUCCUCAACUUAACAUGGCUGUUGGCCUUCUGCUCCCCCAGAAUGCGAAUCCGUCUGCUGUCAGGAGAAGACCUCUCCCCUCAUGCCUUCCCACCAGCUCCCCCAUUCCCCCCCAGGCCUGCGUGUUUGACAAACUGCAGGAGGGAAAGCUGCUCCAGGCACAGCUCAAGCUGCAAAGCUUUUAGGAAUGUGGGGUUUAAGACACCUUCUUUGAAUGAUCCCAAAUCUGUGAGACACAAAUAAAACCCAGAAUUCUUCAGCUGUGGUCUAUUGGAAUAUCUGGACCCUUUUCCCAGCAUCAUGACAUCAUUUUCCUUCCAGACUUCGAUGUUAAAAAUAGUCUAGCAAAGCCUUUGAACCACUGUCUCCUUAAAACACAAUAUGGAUUGUAUGUGUGUUUAGCACUUUGAAGAAACACUCUGUGACAGGAGACAGGCUGGCCGACUGCCCCCUCGGAGGAUGCACAGGCUCAUUGCACUUACACUAAACAGACACGCACACACACUCAGGCUGCUCUUACGUGAGACAACCACUCCAAAGCCACGGCUCACGUGCCUUAAAACAGCCCUGUGAGGUGACCAGCACUCCAGACGACCACCCCGUGUUCUGUCUCCCAUUCAGGUAGCUUGAGAGCCUGAUCAGGCAGAAUUUUAAGAAGCUGCCAUUUUAAUAUUUCUAACAGCUUUUCUGUCUGGAUGGGCACAACACAUUUGGUUCGAGAAAAUGUUACUUUCUGGCUUCUCUAAAGCGAGGUGGUUGGCCUCCUCUGCUCUGGCGCCUUAACGAAGGCCUCUCCUGGAGACACUUCAUAGGCGGGACAGGCGCUGACAGGACAUGAGAACGUUUGCUGGAAGCCAACACACUUCCUGGGGGGCGCAAGGAUGGGGCACCGACCUGAGUCCUUGCGGUUCAUGAUACAGGAGGCCCCUCCGUCGGACUAGAACAUUCCAUCUCGGUCAGAUGACAGGACAAGAGCAAGCCCCUCAGUGGAAAACGGGUGUUUGACUGGAAAGCCCAGACCAGCUAGCUGGGCAGCCCUCCCAAAGCAGGUGCCCUGGCACAAAGGCGGCUGAUCCUUCAGCCUCGUGGGUAAGCAGCUUCCCUCAGAGAAACACAGAAGCUUGCCGGAGAUCCCGGGGGAGGGCUCGUCACAGCGCUGAGCAAAGGCACAUCAAACCCUGAAGAGCAGUUUUUAAAGCAAUGUGAGGUAGUGUGGCAUUCAGCGAAAGAAGUGGAUCCCCCUAGUUGUUUUUGGGGGAUGUGGGAAGCGGCAGGGAGGGCCUGACAUUUGCCAACACCACUGCGCCAACCCCAGGGGGCAGGGAUACCCCAGGAUACCCCAGGUCACCCGGUUAAAUUGGAAUUUCUGAUAAACAAUAAAGAAGGUCUUGGUGCAAGUAUGUCCCAAAUAUCACACUGCUGUUUCUCUGAAAUUCAACUUUAAUUGUGCGUGCGAUCUUUCUGUUGGCUGAAUCUGGCAACCUUGGCCUCACUGCAAAGUCUGCUGUGGGCCUCUACCUGCGCAAGGACCAGAGCCUUCUGCCCAUGAACCCAAGGAGGUGGUUGGGCCCAGCAAGGAUGAGGCUGGGGAAGAGGAAUGAUUCUUUAUUUAGUCAAGAGGGGGAAGAUAUAAAAGGACUGAUGCUGUAGGGAAAUAGGCGUGAGGAUGAAGGCCCAUGGAAUCUUAGCACUUGAACCCCUAGGUUCUUUGGGGCCUCCUGAGCCCUGGGGCAACUGGAUGAUCUCAUGUGUGAUUUUGGGUUUCUUUCUUUUCCCCAAAUCUGAAAUUAGCAGCAACCAGCACACAAGGUCCCACAACCAAGCUCUGGAGGUACCUCCUAACGGCCCCAGGUGACGGCUCUGGGCCUGGCCUUUCCCACUUGCAAAAGUUCACGUCCACCUCACACUACAGCAGAGACGACCAUGUGGGAGGAGAGGUGGCCGGCCCUCCUGCGAGAGCAGAGCCAGGGUGGCCUGAAAGUCAAGGGCCCUGCGGGUGGCUGUCACCACCACACCCUACUUGGGAGGCCUUGGGGCAGACCCAGUGCAGCAGCUAGUGCAACUCUUGUCAAACAGCAUCACGGCCACAGCCAGCAGGCGGUGGGGGUCCUCAGAAGAGCCCACCCCAGGCCAAGCAAAGGUAACCGGAGAAGUCCAGCUCCAGUACCACCGACCUCCAGGCCCUGACCCCUCUGGCCAGGGGCAUCCGCAGCUGCAGACCAUCCCCCGUCUGCCCUCUGAGUCUCCUGAGCUACCUCUGUGCACUCACCUCUCCCAGGAUCCCCGAAGAGGCAAAAAAGCCCUGGGUUUGGAGUGACUUUAGGGAGCAUCUAUGUGCUCCGAUUUCCUGUCAGCCCGCCUCCUUGAAGACACGAAGAACUCAUUCUUCCAUGGUCAGCUUCUUCUACCUCCGGUCAUUCCUUACACUGAGUCCAAACCCAUUGACUCUCACACCGUUACCCAGAACCUGGGGCCACCUGGAGCCCGUGUCACCCUUCUACUGUAUGAUACCUGUAUCAAUUUACAGGACAGUUCUCAACUCUGUGGGGAUAGAAGCAUGAAACAGUUUUAUUUUUUCCUCCAAUGAUUUUUUUUUUUUUAAAUUGAGGUGUAAUUGACAUAGAACUUUAAAGUUUUUUUUGUUUUUUGUUUUUGUUGUUUUUUUAAAUCAUCUCAACACUCAACAUGGGGCUUGAACUCACAACCAGCCAGGGGCCUGUGACAUUGAACUUUAGAUUAGUUUCAGCUGUACAACAUGAUUCACUAUUUGCAUAUAUUAUGAAAUGAUUAUCACGGGAAGGUCUUGUUAACCUCCCUCAUCACACCUAGUUACAAAUUUGUUUUUCCUGUGGUGAGAACAUUAAGAUCUACUCUCUUAGCAACUUUCAAAUAUGCAGUACAGUAUUAUUAACUAUACAUCAUGCUGUAUAUUACAUUACCAGGACUUAUUUAUUUUAUAGUGGGAAAUCUGUACCUUUACUCCCUUCACCCCCCCUUUGGUCCACCUUUUUUUUUUUUUUAAAUUCUACACAGAAGUGAGAUCAUAUAUUAUUAGCCUUUCUCUGUCUGACUCACUUCACCUAGCAUAAAGUCCAGUGGUAUUUUCUUUUUUUUUAAAUUAAUUCAUUUAUUUGAUAGAGAGAGACACAGUGAGAGAGGGAACACAAGCAGUUUAAGUGGGAGAGGGAGAAGCAGGCUUCCCACCAAGCAGGAAGCCCGAUGCAGGGCUCGAUCCCAGGACCCCAGGAUCAUGAACUGAGCCGAAAGCAGACGCUUAACGACUGAGCCACCCAGGUGCCCCAGUGGUUAUUUUCGAUGAUACUGUGUCAACUCUCCUAUUUCCUCCCCUUGAUGCCACUUUGAGUUCAUACCAUGGACUUAACCUCAAAUUCUAUUUCAGGCUCAUCUUCUCCCCUCCUCAAGGACUAACUUGAUCAGACCCUGAAUGUUUGCAGAGACAGGUCAGGGUUGAGCUCUGAAUCAGCUCCUGACCCUCAGGGCAGGGCUCCUCUGGCCUGUUGGGGAUGGCGCAGGGAGAGGGAAAAGAGCCGUUGUUUCUUUAGUUCACUGGGUCCCCAUGUAGUCCCUUUCCUAUUGGUUGCCUCCACUUCUUGGACUAAGAGUUAGGGGUAAGAUUAGGCCCAGCUAUACACCUCCUGCUGGUUGUUGAUGUUUUCUGGCUCACACCGAGUCGAUAUUGGUGCCCUUUGCGGGGUGGGCAUUUCAGGGGGGUUGUGUCUGAGUCCUUCAGAGCAGCCUGAGGGGGACUCCUUAUGGCUCAGUUCCCUGCUGUCUCUUUAGUGCCCUCAGCCUGUGCCCCCAGCAUACAGCUCCUGGCCCUGGGCAGGGGAGGCCCAUCUGCUGGGCAGUGACAGUGAGUGGGACAGUGGAGAACCAUCGCCAGCUCAGCUGCUCCCCCAGCUCCCCUCCCUGGGCCCACCGACACGCACAUAUCCCACCUCACCUUUUCUAUACGGUCCACUGGCUCAGGGAAUUUUGCUCAUUGUAAUCCCACAUGCACUGAACGCACAGGUGUGACCACACUCGGUAACCGGCAGCUGGAAUAGUCCACCUUUCUGAUAUUAAAAAGGGUAAAAAGGCCAAGGUCAUUCUGACAAAGUGGAACCUUGUACAAGAUUCGAAAUCACGGAAAAAGCAUAUGUGGCUGAGAGUCCUAUGGAGUUAUGCAAUUCUCGGGACAUCUACAUAUUAUCAAUCACUCCACACAAAUAAGGACACCCAAACUGGCCAAGAUGUUUGGGGCCAGCUGGGUGAGGCAACUCCCAGACCUCCGGGCAAUCCUAAAGGACAGCGCCAGGCUGCUUCACGGUAUGUUUUUCUCUCUUUCCACCCAAAACUUCAACUGAACUAUUACUCCACACUGAGUGUUAAUCCCAUAAAAUGCCUGAAACGUCAACGCAUUUGGAAUGAUUUGACUUUUAAAUGAGGAAAGUAUAUUUUCUCCUAACUCAGAAGGGGAUUAAAAUAAACUUUCCAAUAUGCUUGCAAACAAACAGAAAGCAGCACCUCGAAGCUGAGGCCAAACGUGCAAGUUGGAGCUCUAGCGACAGGAGAGGUGGUUCGUGUUGUCUGUCAAAGGAAUCGCGUUGCCAGCCCAUCCGAAACCCGCGGGAUCGCCCCGGGGUGGCUGGGCGCUGGCUUUCCGUUCUUUUCCCUCCCCUCCUUCUCUAGAUACCCCCUUUGGAUUAUUUUGAGUGAAAGUUACUUGAGGGGGGGAAUAUCUGGGUGGCUCAGUUGAGUAAGCGUCUGCCUUCGGCUCAGAUCACAAUUCUGGAGUCCUGGGAUCGAGCCCCAUGAAGGGAGCCUGCUUCUCCUACUCCCUCUGCUCCCCUGGCUUGCGCUCUCUCUCUCUCUCUCAAAUAAAUAAAUAAAAUCUUUAAAAAAAUAAAGUUACUUAAGAAACAGCAACAUAAGAAGGACAUUCUGACCCUCCUUGGUCCUCCUGAAAGCA